GAUGAACGCUCGCGCCGUGCCUAAUGCAUGCAAGUCGAGCGAACAGACGAGGGGCUUGCUCCUCUGACGUUAGCGGCGGACGGGUGAGUAACACGUGGAUAACCUACCUAUAAGACUGGGAUAAAUUCGGGAAACCGGAGCUAAUACCGGAUAAUAUAUUGAACCUCAUGGUUCAAUAGUGAAAGACGGUUUUGCUGUCACUUAUAGAUGGAUCCGCGCCGCAUUAGCUAGUUGGUAAGGUAACGGCUUACCAAGGCAACGAUGCGUAGCCGACCUGAGAGGGUGAUCGGCCACACUGGAACUGAGACACGGUCCAGACUCCUACGGGAGGCAGCAGUAGGGAAUCUUCCGCAAUGGGCGAAAGCUUGACGGAGCAACGCCGCGUGAGUGAUGAAGGUCUUCGGAUCGUAAAACUCUGUUAUUAGGGAAGAACAAAUGUGUAAGUAACUAUGCACGUCUUGACGGUACCUAAUCAGAAAGCCACGGCUAACUACGUG
This 497-nucleotide ribosomal RNA is filed under the name uncultured bacterium. Its description in RNAcentral is "partial 16S ribosomal RNA". It matches the Rfam family "Bacterial small subunit ribosomal RNA", at positions 28 to 507 of the family's 1533-position model. The record is from RNAcentral.